CAUCUUGUCUUUUUUUUUUUUUUUGAGAAUAAGAUAUGGAUGCCAUUAAAAUUGAUGGAACUAAUCCUAAUUAAUGCAAAAGUUGUACCCUACUUAGUUCUUAAAGGACUUAAAUCGUCCAGUCUUAAAAAGAAACAAAUAAACAACCUAAAAGAAGCAAACCCUAAAAAUUGACUACAUCCUAGUUUCUAGAAAAAAAACCCAGUAGUUUCUCUUUUGGCAAUUCACUCUUUCAUCUACCACCAUCGUUCCACCCUGAAAUGAUCUGUACUUUUAGCGUCCUCCAUGAAAGUUCUUGUAGAAAAAAGAAACCGACGAAACCUUUCGUUUUUCAUUUCUUCCAACCCAUUUCAAAUCCUGUUCGAAAAAUUUCUGUCUCUUUUAGCCGCUAACUCUACCCUUUGAGGGGCCUCAUCAAUCCAUACCUUUGUUCCUGGCCAGUUCUUCCCUUCCUCUGCCAUUACGUGCGCCGUUUGGUUUGUUGUUCAUCCAGCGAAAGAGCAGGUAACAUUUUCGAAUCUCCGACAUCUUUCUUUUAUUUCUUGAAUAAUCACCGCAAUACCAUAUUUUCUUGAUUACUGUCAAGGAAUCUCCUUCCACUAUCAUAUUUCGAAAACCCAGCUCCUCAGCCACCGAAACUGCCUAAAGACAUUCUUUCGCCUCUACCGUGGUGGCAUCUACUAUAAAGGUGUUGUGGUCUUGGAAUCCACGCCUCAUUCCAAACAUUAAUGGAUUUUCCAUCACCAACCCUCCAACCCAAACCCUCAUCUAGGAGUCUUCUUACGCUCUAUAUGCUCCACCAGGUAUAAGAUGGGAGGUCUAUUGGAGACAUGAUUUAAAUAAAUAAAAGAUGGCCAUGCACAAAUUAUCCAUGUGGAUGGCAAGACCAUGUAAUUUUGGGCAUGGGGUUGACUACUUGACCCAGUAAAGAAGAGAGGAGUGGUGGCAUUUCAUCUUCAUCUUUUCACCACCGAAACCAAAGAAAUAAAGAAGAAGAACAAAAGCUUUGCAUGCCAUUUUCAAGCCAUUGUUGUGAGCUCUAACAUGGAAAAGUUGAAAAUGAUGUCGGAAUGUCACGGGGCAAUAGGAAGACGAAGACGAGCAACGAGCCACAAGCAACAAAUUCAACGGCUAUUAUGUUAUGGAUCAACAAGGAGAGUCAGUAACAUCUAGAUCUCACAUCUCAACUCAACUAGACUUUUGCAAUGCUUCAUUUUAUUUAUGAGUUGUAAAGGCAUGUACUUAGAUAAUUAGGGUCCUAUAAGGUCUUUUUAUUGGUAUAGACUGUUGAUGUCUCUGUUGGGGCAUUUUUUUGUCACUUGGUAAUCUUUGACGAUGACAUUUAAACUAAUAAGUAUAAGUCAUGAUGUUGCUAUGUAACAAAUUAUGUAUACCUAUGGGUGUUAACUAGUUGAGAUGUUACUAGGUGUUAAUUAUGUGUGUUUGUGUGCCAAGUUGGUGUUGGUUGAUAUUAUGUUAUAAUGGUUUUAUAGAA
Molecule: long non-coding RNA, 1495 nt
Organism: Gossypium arboreum
Lineage: Eukaryota; Viridiplantae; Streptophyta; Magnoliopsida; Malvales; Malvaceae
Exons: 5
Source: RefSeq, a predicted model, not a curated record